CCUACGGGAGGCAGCAGUGGGGAAUUUUGCGCAAUGGGCGAAAGCCUGACGCAGCAACACCGCGUGAGGGAUGAAGUUCUUUGGAGCGUAAACCUCUGUCAGUGGGGACGAAUUUUGACGGUACCCACAAAGGAAGCAUCGGCUAACUACGUGCCAGCAGCCGCGGUAAGACGUAGGAUGCGAGCGUUGUCCGGAAUCAUUGGGCGUAAAGAGUUCGUAGGCGGCAUGUCAAGUCUGGUGUUAAAGCCCGGGGCUCAACCCCGGUUUCGCACCGGAUACUGGCAAGCUAGAGUGCAGAAGAGGCAAGGGGAAUUCCCAGUGUAGCGGUGAAAUGCGUAGAUAUUGGGAGGAACACCGGUGGCGUAAGCGCCUUGCUGGGCUGUUACUGACGCUGAGGAACGAAAGCCAGGGGAGCGAAUGGGAUUAGAUACCCCGGUAGUC
This 441-nucleotide ribosomal RNA is filed under the name uncultured delta proteobacterium. RNAcentral's name for it is "bacterial SSU rRNA". It matches the Rfam family "Bacterial small subunit ribosomal RNA", at positions 338 to 795 of the family's 1533-position model. Lineage: Bacteria; Deltaproteobacteria. The record is from RNAcentral.